GACGAACGCUGGCGGCGUGCUUAACACAUGCAAGUCGAACGGAAAGGCCCUGCUUUUGUGGGGUGCUCGAGUGGCGAACGGGUGAGUAACACGUGAGUAACCUGCCCUUGACUUUGGGAUAACUUCAGGAAACUGGGGCUAAUACCGGAUAGGAGCUCCUGCUGCAUGGUGGGGGUUGGAAAGUUUCGGCGGUUGGGGAUGGACUCGCGGCUUAUCAGCUUGUUGGUGGGGUAGUGGCUUACCAAGGCUUUGACGGGUAGCCGGCCUGAGAGGGUGACCGGCCACAUGGGGACUGAGAUACGGCCCAGACUCCUACGGGAGGCAGCAGGGGGGAAUAUUGCACAAUGGGCGGAAGCCUGAGGCAGCAACGCCGCGUGCGGGAUGACGGCUUUCGGGUUGUAAACCGCUUUCGCCUGUGACGAAGCGGGAGUGACGGUAAUGGGUAAAGAAGCACCGGCUAACUACGUG
This 468-nucleotide ribosomal RNA is filed under the name uncultured bacterium. RNAcentral describes it as "partial 16S ribosomal RNA". It matches the Rfam family "Bacterial small subunit ribosomal RNA", at positions 28 to 507 of the family's 1533-position model. The record is from RNAcentral.